CAGAAGCCAGAGUGCCCAGAUCACUGGCAGGAGGCUGAUGGAUGAGGUCAGAGAGGUGUCACGAGGGACCUGGUAGGCUCCAGUUUUAUUCUAAUUUGAGUGUUAAGACACGGGGUUAUAGACGCUUGCUUUUGAAUUGUCAGCCGUAGUAAGCAAAAAAUGCCCCCAAAGAUGGCAGGUGCUAAUCUCUGGAACCAGAGAACCUGCACCCCAGUCUACUCAGAUUCCUUCACUUCUUCCUCCAGCUCAAGGUCCAUUGUUGCCAGCAGAAUCGUGGGGACAUGUCUUGAGGUCUUCUGUCCCUUUGGCUACGAAGGACGUCGCUGUUAACUGCAGCUUCCAUACGUCUGAGCUGAGACCUUUGGGACUCUUCUGCUUUCUGGCCGAACAUCCUGCCUGCAGACCUUGGCUGGCACUUGACCAUAGAGACCGUGAGCCACUCUUCCUGUACAUCACCGACGAUCUUCCACCUGCUGUGGCUUCUCCCGCUUUGAGGUGGUACCUGCACAGGUGGACGGGCUGGGUGGCUAAGGGAGCAGAAAGAGCUCUUGGGUGAGGAGAGGCAUGAGUGGGAAAGGCUGGUAGAGA
Molecule: long non-coding RNA, 588 nt
Filed under: Felis catus (domestic cat)
Lineage: Eukaryota; Metazoa; Chordata; Mammalia; Carnivora; Felidae
Description: lncRNA (ENSFCAG00000043980.2)
Source: RNAcentral